This 910-nucleotide ribosomal RNA is filed under the name uncultured bacterium. Its description in RNAcentral is "bacterial SSU rRNA". It matches the Rfam family "Bacterial small subunit ribosomal RNA", at positions 1 to 916 of the family's 1533-position model. The record is from RNAcentral.
UAGAGUUUGAUUAUGGCUCAGGAUUAACGCUAGCGGCAGGCUAAUACAUGCAAGUCGAACGGGAUUCAAAGUAGCAAUAUUUUGAUGAGAGUGGCGCACGGGUGAGUAACACGUAUGCAAUUUACCUUUAACUGGGGGAUAGCCCUCCGAAAGGAGGAUUAAUACCGCAUAAUAUAUUGAAAUGGCAUCAUUUUAAUAUUAAACCUACGGGGGUUAAAGAUGAGCAUGCAUCCGAUUAGCUAGUUGGUGUGGUAACGGCUCACCAAGGCAACGAUCGGUAGGGGGUCUGAGAGGAUGAUCCCCCACACUGGUACUGAGACACGGACCAGACUCCUACGGGAGGCAGCAGUAAGGAAUAUUGGACAAUGGAGGCAACUCUGAUCCAGCCAUGCCGCGUGAAGGAUUAAGGCCCUAUGGGUUGUAAACUUCUUUUAGACGGGACAAAACCCCUUUACGUGUAAAGGGUUGAUGGUACUGUCAGAAUAAGCAUCGGCUAACUUCGUGCCAGCAGCCGCGGUAAUACGAAGGAUGCAAGCGUUAUCCGGAAUUAUUGGGUUUAAAGGGUGCGUAGGCGGACUAAUAAGUCAGUGGUGAAAGCCUGCAGCUUAACUGCAGAAUUGCCGUUGAUACUGUUAGUCUUGAGUACAGUUGAGGUAGGCGGAAUGUGUCAUGUAGCGGUGAAAUGCUUAGAUAUGACACAGAACACCGAUUGCGAAGGCAGCUUGCUACGGGAUUAUUGACACUGAGGCACGAAAGCGUGGGGAUCAAACAGGAUUAGAUACCCUGGUAGUCCACGCCCUAAACGAUGGAUACUCGACAUCAGCGAUACACUGUUGGUGUCUGAGCGAAAGCAUUAAGUAUCCCACCUGGGAAGUACGACCGCAAGGUUGAAACUCAAAUGAAUUGACGG